UACAGAGGGUGCAAGCGUUGUUCGGAAUUACUGGGCGUAAAGGGCGCGUAGGCGGUCUUGCAAGUCAGAUGUGAAAGCCCAGGGCUUAACCCUGGAAGUGCAUUUGAAACUGCAAGACUUGAGUGAUGUAGAGGUUGGUGGAAUUCCUAGUGGAGAGGUGAAAUUCGUAGAUAUUAGGAGGAACACCGGUGGCGAAGGCGGCCAACUGGGCAUUAACUGACGCUGAGGCGCGAGAGCAUGGGGAGCAAACAGG
This 253-nucleotide ribosomal RNA is filed under the name uncultured bacterium. Its description in RNAcentral is "partial 16S ribosomal RNA". It matches the Rfam family "Bacterial small subunit ribosomal RNA", at positions 524 to 776 of the family's 1533-position model. The record is from RNAcentral.